This is a non-coding RNA of Gossypium hirsutum (cotton), 137 nucleotides long. Lineage: Eukaryota; Viridiplantae; Streptophyta; Magnoliopsida; Malvales; Malvaceae. The record is from Rfam.
UGUUAAAAAUUUCAUCCAUUCAUACGGUUAAAAAAUAAUGUAGUUGACGGAAUAAUUAGAGAGUUACACAUGGCAUGCUACAUGUACCUCAUGCCAACAUACCAAUUUUUAAAGGUAGAAAUGGAUGAAUUUUAACA